Thalassophryne amazonica is the source of this 106-nucleotide long non-coding RNA. RefSeq lists it as uncharacterized. The record is from RefSeq and is a predicted model, not a curated record. NCBI's taxonomy places the organism in Eukaryota, Metazoa, Chordata, Actinopteri, Batrachoidiformes, Batrachoididae. The transcript is spliced from 3 exons.
AUCAAUCCAUAUCAAUUUCAAUAUAUAUUUAUAGAGCGCUUUACAGUACCAAAUGGUGUCCAAAGCACUUAACAUUAAAAACACAAAUUCACAAAAAUAAAACACG